Molecule: long non-coding RNA, 1180 nt
Organism: Limulus polyphemus (Atlantic horseshoe crab)
Lineage: Eukaryota; Metazoa; Arthropoda; Merostomata; Xiphosura; Limulidae
Exons: 2
Source: RefSeq, a predicted model, not a curated record
CAAAGUUCGAUAAUAAAGUGGUCAUAUUAAUUGUAAGUUUGUUAAGUAAAAAUUGGGAAGUUUAAAGAAUGAUAAAACUCCUUUCCCAGAUAAUAUUUACCCAAUGAAAUUGAAAGAAGUUAAGGAUUGGAUAUGUGAGCUAUUUGCUACCAUUUUUCUAAGUUCUUGAAUAGUGUGCAGUUGCCAGAUGACUGUAAAUUGACUAAUAAUAUUACUCCUCUUUUUAAGGGAGGUGAUAAAAUUGUCCUAGUAAUUAUAGGCCUAUUAUUAGUUUUACAUCUGUAGUUAGAAAAGUUUAUGAAAGUUUGAUAAAAGGUGCUUUAGAAAGUCAUUCAACAAAGUUUAAAAUUUAGUUGGAUAGUUAGUAUGUUUUUUCUAAGGAAAUUUAACUUUACAAACCUUUUGACAUUUGAAAAGGUUACUGCUUAUGUAGAUGAGGGUACGAGUGUGGAUUUAGUGAUAUCUGUGUUUUCAGAAAGCAUUUGACAAGGUGCCACAUGAAAGGCUUGUUAAAACGUUAUCACUGUGUGUAUGGCAGAUAGGUUGGCUCAUUGGAUUGAAAACUUGCUACAUGGAAGAAAGCAGAGGGUUGUUAUAAAUGUCAAAUUGGAUUAAUGACAAGAGUGGAGUACCUCAAGACUGACUGUUAGGACCUUUGCUCUUUUUAGUUUACAUCAAUGACAUAAAUGAAAAAAUGGUCAAUAGAUUACUUAAAUUUGCUGAUGACAUUAACAUUUGGGGUGUUACUGACUGUGAGAAUGCUACUGCUGCUUUACAAAAAGAUUUGAAUUAUUUGGCCAACCCAUCUACUGAGGUUGCUCCACACCUACGGCAUAAUCCAGUCUGGGAAAUGGCCACCAAGGAAAGCAAGCUAAUAAAUUGGAUGAAAUCACACAUUUCUUCCAUGAGUACAGGUAGUCAUAUUUGUCAAACUACACUGUACCUGUAGACAUUUUGAAGGUCGUCAUUUUUACAUUUCCUCUAAUACUUCACUAACAAAGCUGGUAUGAGGUACACAAGAUUUUAGUUUCAGUAAAAGGAACUUGUGUUUCUUCCUGUGCUUGUAAACAUUGAUUGUUAUGAACUUGAGCUCUAGUACUAUCUAUUUCAACUUUUGUAAUUCAAAUAUGAAGCUGCUUAAUAGCAUAUUUGUAUUAUUGAUUAAAUAAUUUUCUUAUAA